Molecule: long non-coding RNA, 833 nt
Filed under: Homo sapiens (human)
Lineage: Eukaryota; Metazoa; Chordata; Mammalia; Primates; Hominidae
Description: non-protein coding KIRREL3-AS3:2
Source: RNAcentral
GGAGGGAGGAGGAGGGAGGCGGCGAGGAGCCGACGGCUCCACCUGAUGGAGAAGCGCGGAGAGUCCCUAGACCUCGGAGUGCGCUGCAAGAGGGGAGAGGAGAGAGACCGCCGCCCCUGCUGGAAGCCUUCGCGUCCGGGGGCGGCGCGCGGGGGAAGGGGUCUCUGGACAGUCGGUGGAGGCGGCAGCCCUACAGAGACAGCCGAAAGCCAGCAACUUGGAAAACCGCCCGAAUUCUGGGUUUCUGCACAUCCAGGCUGGCUCCAGGUCUCUUGUGCCCACCGUGCAAGCCGGCGGGAUGCCAGCAGGUGGCAUCCUCUCCAGCGUUUCUUCGCCAGGCGUGGAGUCCGGAGGCCGAAUCCAUCAGUCCCCAGCCCCCUCCCCAAGCCUCCGGUGCCAAGUGCUGGGUCCUGUGAGCCCCUGGCCCGCCCCCCACCUCCGCCAGCGGGGCGAGCCGGAGCUGGGUGACCCAGACCCUCGCGGAGGCGGGAGCCUACAGAGGAUGCCGGCCGGCCCCAGGUUCUGCUGCUGGCUGGCCAAGAAGUGACAGGAGGGCAAGGCUCCCCCGGAAAGCGUCCAAGCCCUGCUCUCCUGCUCUUCCAAGCCUUGCUGCGUGUUGCCCCCAGGGUUUUCUGAGAUCUGGGACGAAGAGAGUGAUGUGCAAGGUUCUGGGUCCCGGUGCAGGAGUGAGGGGUACGGCUGUCGAGUGCUCGGAGCAGGCUGGCGUUUGGGCACACUGCAGACCUCAGCUCACCGCCACUUUCUCCUGACCUUCCUCGUGGCUGUCAGCCCAAUGUCUAUCAUGUGUUAUUCCCUCGGUUUGUUCAAAGGCC